RNAcentral lists this unclassified non-coding RNA (317 nucleotides) under fungal sp. RNAcentral describes it as "partial internal transcribed spacer region". The stretch from base 1 to 46 matches the Rfam family "Eukaryotic small subunit ribosomal RNA", at positions 1786 to 1831 of the family's 1831-position model. Lineage: Eukaryota; Fungi. The record is from RNAcentral.
AAGUCGUAACAAGGUAACCGUAGGUGAACCUGCGGUUGGAUCAUCCGAGAGAGUGGCACACGCAGUGUGACACGCAGUGUUACACGCAGUGUGUCGCUCGUAAUAGUUAGUGACUUGUAUCUUUUCUCGUUCUUUUCAGUGAAUCACAGAAAAAAGAGAGAGAGAAGCACGUUCACUUGCAAACACCAAUUCCAGCGAAACGCACAAUAUCUCUGAAAAAGAGAGAGAAGCACCAAUUGAAAUCACUCUACAACAAGACAACAGAACGAGAAAGAAACAGAAAGAUACAACUUUUGACAAUGGAUCUCUUGGUUCUC